RNAcentral lists this unclassified non-coding RNA (332 nucleotides) under soil metagenome. Its description in RNAcentral is "partial contains 5.8S ribosomal RNA, internal transcribed spacer 2, and large subunit ribosomal RNA". The stretch from base 1 to 120 matches the Rfam family "5.8S ribosomal RNA", at positions 35 to 154 of the family's 154-position model. The record is from RNAcentral.
GAUGAAGAACGUAGCGAAAUGCGAUACGUAGUGUGAAUUGCAGAAUUCAGUGAAUCAUCGAAUCUUUGAACGCACAUUGCGCCCUUUGGUAUUCCAAAGGGCAUGCCUGUUCGAGCGUCAUUUCAACCCUCAAGCACAGCUUGGUGUUGGGACUCGCGUUAAUUCGCGUUCCUCAAAUUGAUUGGCGGUCACGUCGAGCUUCCAUAGCGUAGUAGUAAAACCCUCGUUACUGGUAAUCGUCGCGGCCACGCCGUUAAACCCCAACUUCUGAAUGUUGACCUCGGAUCAGGUAGGAAUACCCGCUGAACUUAAGCAUAUCAAUAAGCGGAGGA